UAGCAAAUGACGCUCAGUCCGGGGAGGGU
RNAcentral lists this small RNA (29 nucleotides) under Bombyx mori (domestic silkworm). Its description in RNAcentral is "ovarian small RNA-22209". The record is from RNAcentral. Lineage: Eukaryota; Metazoa; Arthropoda; Insecta; Lepidoptera; Bombycidae.